This 405-nucleotide ribosomal RNA is filed under the name uncultured cyanobacterium. Its description in RNAcentral is "partial 16S ribosomal RNA". It matches the Rfam family "Bacterial small subunit ribosomal RNA", at positions 355 to 774 of the family's 1533-position model. The record is from RNAcentral. Lineage: Bacteria; Bacillati; Cyanobacteriota.
UGGGGAAUUUUCCGCAAUGGGCGAAAGCCUGACGGAGCAAUACCGCGUGAGGGAGGAAGGUUCUUGGAUUGUAAACCUCUUUUCUAGGGGAAGAAGAAAGUGACGGUACCCUAGGAAUAAGCAUCGGCUAACUCCGUGCCAGCAGCCGCGGUAAUACGGAGGAUGCAAGCGUUAUCCGGAAUUAUUGGGCGUAAAGAGUCCGUAGGUGGGAGUUCAAGUCUGCUGUUAAAGAGUGUAGCUUAACUACAUAAAGGCGGUGGAAACUGAGCAACUAGAGUGAGGUAGGGGUAACGGGAAUUCCCAGUGUAGCGGUGAAAUGCGUAGAUAUUGGGAAGAACAUCGGUGGCGAAAGCGCGUUACUGGGCCUAAACUGACACUGAGGGACGAAAGCUAGGGUAGCGAAAG